GCGCCCUUAGCUCAGUAGGAUAGAGCGGCGGCCUUCUAAUCCGCAUGUCGGGGGUUCGAAUCCCUCAGGGCGCGCCA
RNAcentral lists this transfer RNA (77 nucleotides) under Acetobacteraceae bacterium. RNAcentral's name for it is "tRNA-Arg". It matches the Rfam family "tRNA". From Rfam's summary of the family: Transfer RNA (tRNA) molecules are approximately 80 nucleotides in length. RNAcentral also lists the same sequence under 2 other names. The record is from RNAcentral. Lineage: Bacteria; Pseudomonadati; Pseudomonadota; Alphaproteobacteria; Acetobacterales; Acetobacteraceae.